UUUUAAGAUGCCGAAACCAGCUUAUUUCAAAUGUGAUAUCGAUGGACCUUUACAUCGCUUUCCCAAAUGGGAAUAUCCUCAUACAGAGAAGUUUGACCAAUAGAAAUCUGUACUUGACAAUACAAUUCAAGAAAAAGGAAACAAUUAUAUUUACAAUUCCAUUCGUAUAUGCCACAAACAUUUUGAGGAGUACUUCAAAUCAUCAAGCAGACGAUUGACGAGGAAUACUGUCCCUAUAUUGAACAUAAGUAAGCAUAUAACAUAAUAACUUGUGAGAGACAGAGUUGAUUUGGUUGAUUUUAUUUGCAAUCUUUGUAUUAAGGUGAUUGUAUACAGUUGGUGCCUGGGAUUAAAUCGAUUAUUAAAUGGAAAAUGUUCAAAUUUUGAUAGGAAUGACCAAUCCGAUUAUAAUAAUAAAAGACGAAAAUAAACAACAGUUUUAUAAAUUCUA
Long non-coding RNA from Melitaea cinxia (Glanville fritillary), 451 nucleotides. RefSeq lists it as uncharacterized. Lineage: Eukaryota; Metazoa; Arthropoda; Insecta; Lepidoptera; Nymphalidae. The transcript has 2 exons. The record is from RefSeq and is a predicted model, not a curated record.